Molecule: long non-coding RNA, 2042 nt
Organism: Perca fluviatilis (European perch)
Lineage: Eukaryota; Metazoa; Chordata; Actinopteri; Perciformes; Percidae
Exons: 4
Source: RefSeq, a predicted model, not a curated record
UCGAUAUCUCUGUAAAAUAAUCAUUUUUUUUAACUAGCGGGGCAGUGAAAUCUUUGCUUUGUGCUAAAGUCAACAGUGACAGAGUUUGAGCUCAAAUAAAUGCCGUGAUGUCUGGAGCCCUUUGCAGAAGGCAGAAGGCGAGCUUCUACAAUGGGCUCCUGUGUGGCUUGCCAACAACAAGCACCAGCUAUUUUGCACAGUGUGCGGCUGGCUGAUAUCAUCGCUGCUGCACUGAUGUCAUGAAAGCGAGUUGUGCUACAGAAGUGAUCCUGCGAAUGCUUUUAUAUUAUACCAGGCUCUGCUGACUGAAGUGAUCCCCACGGCCUGAGUGGAAGAGUGGAGGGAGAGGAAGCCUCAGAGGGAAGAGGGAUAACUGCUGAAGAGCUGACACACACACACACACACACACACACACACACACACACACACACACACACACACACACACACACACACACACACACACACACACACACACACACACACACACACACACACAAUGUCCCUCUCAGUCCUGGGAUGUGACCGGCCCAUGGCAUUGGCCAGAUGCACAUGGCUUUCUUUGAAGGACUCUUUUCCACUGCUACUUUCCAUCUACGUUCAUCACCCUGCAUCAAGCGGCCUGAAAGCACUUCCCUGUCGAUGUGCUUGGCUAUAUCUAUGUCUGACCUGUCUGCCAUAUGUAAUAUCAAAGCCUCUGUCAGCGUGGAGCUGAAUGGGAACAAAAGAGAGGCCUCCAUUAAUGAUUAACUGUUCUAAAAGCCCCGGCUUUUGUAUUCCCAUGGUGCCCAGGCUAUCUGGCCACCAUGUGACAUGCUCACAGCAUUUUUCGAGCAGAUUGGGGGAAAGCUAGUGAGCAAACACAGGUGCUUUGGAGCAGCGUUGCCGACGCUGUCAGGGACAACCACAAACAAGAGCAGCUAUGCCUGGCUAAAUGAAUCCCCACCCCUCCCAACACCAUCACCAUCACCACCUCCAUCCCCCCCAUCCCCGCUCUCUGUCGCUAGCUAACUUGUUUGCGAGCUCCCCAUAGCUUUCUCCCCGCAAAGCCUUCCUUCUGGAGAGUCCCCAUGUCCCCCCCCCCACACACACACAAGUUCAAUGCCCGCUACAGCCACAGCUCCACAACUUCUCACACCCUCCAAAGAAACAAACAAAUAAAAGUGAGGACGGCCGACCACUUCUUUGAGGUGAUGGCAUUUGCUGUGGUCAUGACUAGUGGGAGAGCAAACAAAUUAAUGGUAUUCGGGUUUUCACUUUCCAAACCAAACUAACUGUCUUUUAGUUCAAGUGGGGCAAUUCCACUGACCCUGGUGUCAAACGCUGUAUAAGGGCUGCACACUCUUGCACUUGAAAUGCAGAGAGGAGGCUGUAAGAAAUUAAACAGGGCUUGAGUAUUGGCCAACCUGGUGUGUUGAAACACCUUAAAGUGAGAAAUAAAUCUUGAAUAAAUUGUGUGUGCAAUAAACACUUAUGGUUUAUUGUUUAUGUUUGUGUAUUUUGACUUUAAGAUGUUUAACAAGAGGUGUGUGGAGCACUUAACCUUUUCAUCCAGGCUGACUGAUUGUUCAGAGUGACUGGGGGUGCUGUGUCUCACAACUUUGAUAAGACAAUCAGAUGAUAGGAUGGCGUUAUCUUAACAUGGCUUUCCGGCUGGCGGACAAAUGAACAGUGUGUGAUAACAGGAACAAAAGCUUGGCUCUUAUUGGCUGGCUCCGCCAAAGAAAGGAAAAAUUAUCAGGAUGGAAAAUUCACAAUAGGCGCAGUUUAUUUCAUUUUCCAUUUUCUACUUAGCCCAGGUCACAGGGACAGCUUUUUUUUCUAAUCACUCUGAUAUUUAUAUUGUCUCUUAUUGGCAUUUUUGUUUCACAGUCUGCAAUUACCUGCGCCUAUAAAGCUGUUAUUGUCACUGUAAAGAUGAUAAAACAUUUUUUUUAAACAAACAAUUUUAAUCAAUCAAUCAGGAGAGGAAAUUAAGUUGUAAAAGUGAGAAAGACCAAUGUAGAAAAACAGAGGCUGACAAGGAGUGAGUGAAAAAACAUA